UGUGGCUCUGGCCCCCCCACCACCCCCCCACCCACCGCCCGCCCGCCUCCCCCACCGCUACCACCACCACCUCCUCCUCCUCCUCCUCCUCCUCCUCCUCCUCCUCCUCGGCGGCGGCGUCCUCCUCCUCCUCACCGCCUCCCCCAGCCCCCCAAACCCCCGGGCCACCCCCCUCCGAAACCCCCACCCUCGGGGCCGCCGUCUGAGGAGGGGGGCCAAACCACCCCCAAAAAUUGUCUUGGAAAAAAUUGAGGAAAGACUUUUUUUCCUUCUCUCUUUCCUCCCAAGAGAACAAGAAAGGGGGAUUUAAAAUAUAUAUAUAUAUACAUAUAUAUAUAUAUAUAUAUGUAUAUAUAUAAAAGUUUUCGACUUCUCUCUGCCCCCCUCUCCGUUGCUUUAAAUAUAUUUAAAUUCUGAGGGGGGCGCUCAGAAAUAUUUCUCAGAGCUGAGGCACUAAGAUGGCCGCCUUGAAAUUAUUUUUAAAACAACCCCCCCUCCAGCACCGCCACCCCCUCCAUAAAGAAAGGGAGAGGGGGGAAAAUCCCCUUUUCAAACAAAAUGGCUGGCUUAAUAUUUCAUUUUUCACCCCCCCAUUCUCCUCCCUGUUACACCCCCAUCUCCAAGCCUUUACCCAGAAACCCACAAAUUUCUCCUUUUUCAUAACUGAUUAGUGCACAGAUUAAUAGAGAUAUUUUCCUUGUGUACUGAAGUGUGUGUGUGUGUGUGUGUGUGUUGGGGGGGCAUGAAGGAUUUCUGCAUAAAACAAAAAUGGCUGCUGUGACUAACUCCCCCCUUAUAAAAAAUAUUUGAGGGGGGGCAUUAAUCAGUACUCAUGCUCAGUCUGACAUCAGCAUAAAUUGUUAAAGGUUAACUAGUUAGAUACUAGUCCAACUAGAUUUAAUUUUUUUUAUUUUCUUUACUAGUCUCUUCCUCCCCACCUCCCUUCUCUAAAGAAAAGCUUUUUUUUUUUUGAAUACUUCAGAAGGGAGUGGUUUGAUGUGAAGGUUUUUUUCCCCUUCAGGCAUUGAAAAGGAAAAAGAUGAAAUAUAUGUUUAUAUAUAACUCUGUUUCUACAUACCUCAUUGAAGUCACAACGCAUUUAAUUGUGUACAUAUCUUUUAAAUGAGAAGCGGGACUGGAUUUUUUUCUGCUUUCUUUAAAAAAAGUGAUAGAAAUCCUAGUGACUUUUGGGGGAGAGAUAUGAAUAGAUACGAUGAUUGAGUUUUUUUCAAAGGAGUCCAUGUUUGAUUCUCCCCUUUACCCAGCCUUUUCAGUGAUUUAUAAUUGUUAUAAAUUUUAUCUUUACUCUUUUCCCCUUUCCCUCGCUUUCCCCUCCUCCAAUUGUUAGAAUGUAAAAUUCAACUGACUUGAGAAAUUAAUUUGGGGGGUAAACAACAAAUUUUUAGGAUAAAGAGGAAAGAGUCAAAUCUGAAGAUCGUGAAAUUAUGUUCUCUUUUCUUCCGUUUCAGUAUAUUUGCCUUCCCUCCAUGAUCUCCAACACUAUCCGAUAAAGUAGAAGCAACUGAGGUACCGUGAAAGAGAAAGGAGCUGGAACUGAGAAAAAGCAGAGGUAGGGGUUAUACCCAGGCGUUUUCAUCUAACUUUCUGACCUGUGAUUUCCAACUGUACCCCAGUGUUUAUGGUAAAGUGGUACCAGGAAUUGGACAGUUGGAAAGGAGUCCCAAAGUAGCUUUCUCAUACAGAGAUUUGCCCAGAGAGGUCUAGACAGAAAAUGAUCCUUGCCAAAUGGAGCAAAGGAAGGAGGGCAAAUAGCUCAGUUCUACCCUCUUUCAUUCUUGUUGACCCUUUCUUACUCUAGCUUCCUCCCAUUCCUUUGAUCUCCCUUUGCCCCUUCCCUUGCUUCCCAUUCCAUGCCUGUGGAAUCAUUUCUCUCUGGGUUAUUCCUCUACCUCUCCAGUGUAACUGCUGGCCACCCAUCUUCGGCGGUGCUCAGGAGCACCCUGAGAGGGAGGGGUAGGUGGGCAGCAACCAGAAAGUAUUAGUGACUGGGAAGAUGACGCACAUUUUUGUUUAUGAAGCUAAAAUGUUCUUUAUUAAUGUUCCACUCCCCACACUAAUGCACUUUAUUGGGUGUUGGUUUCCAUCUCUUUUUUUUUUAACCUGGCCUUUGGAAUUCUCUUGCUUUGGUUCCCACAUCAUUUCUGUACUAAGUCUAACUCCUCCUCCUUUUCCAGUUUUCCUGUCGAUUUUGCUCUCUUGUCUUCUUUCUCUGUCCCUCUUUACUAGUUCAUCUGGUUAUCCCCCCCUUUCUAUAUUGUGGGCUUCUCUCUAUUUAUGUCUUUGUUUUUAACUGAGACUAUCCUUCUCAUCCCUUGGACCCUCAGGCUCUGUCACCUCUACGUGACUUUCCAUCUCUGUCUUCUUUCUGCUUACUUCUGUCUUCCAGUCUCUGACUGUGUGUGGCUCUUCCUCAUGUGUGCCUGACUCCCCCUCUUUCUGGCCCCUUCUGUGUGUGUCUGUGGAUCAUACUGUGUAUGGGAAGUGUCUCCACGUGUAUGUGGGCCACACUGCGCAUCAUGUGCGCCGCAGCCUCUCUGCCUCUGUGCCCUCUCCCUAUACUGAGAGCCUCUGCUUGCCACAUGUGCCAUGAUCUGCAGGUGCGGGUGGCUAAAGGUGGCCGUGUGCAUCCCUAUACAAACACUCAUCAUUCUCUCUCUUGAGUGUGCUUUGCAUGUGGAUUUGCUAAUUUGCCUUAUUCUCCCUCUCAUCCAUCCUCCCUUUUGCCUGUCUGCAUCUCUUUCUGUUCUCUCUCUCUCUCUCCUGACCUCUUGAUUUUUCUUCUUCUCUCCUUAUUUCUGCCUCUUUACCUGCUUGCUCCUGUUAUGGUGUCUGCCUGCCUGCCUGUCUGCUCCUCCCUGACUGGCUGGCAGCCUCUUUUUCCUCUCUGGUUGUCUGUCUGCUUCUCUGGCUGUUUGCCCACCACUCUCUCUCUAGCCAUCUGUCUCCCCGCCUGCCUGUCUCUAUCACUUUUUUAGCCUGCAUCUCUCGGUUUGUCUACCUUCCAGGCCCUGCCACGGCUCCCCAUCUUGGUUUGCCUCUUCUCUUGCCCUUCUGCUUGUUCCUUCUCUUAUUUGUGCCUGUUAAGUUCCUCCUUUUCCCUUGCCUCCCUUUAGAUCUCUCUUGCCUGUCUACCCUGUUUGCUGCUAUCCCACCGUUUCAGGCUUUUCUCUCUUUAGUCUUCAUACUUACCAGCUUUUUCUUCCUUUGCUUCUUCUCUGCCAACUUCCAUCAAUGAGGAUAGUCUCUCUCCCCUAAACCUCUCAGUAACCCCUUUGCCUCAAAGUCUUAUCUAACUUCUUGCCACAUCCCCUACCCUGCCUUCUCUCACGUUUGCCUUUAUUUCAGUUAUCUCUUUUUCUGUCUUUCUGGUUCCUCAGACAGUCUGCCUGUCUCAGUCUUUUUGCCAUUUUCCCAGUCUCUCGCUGCCUUCCUGCCUUUUUGCUGUCUGCUUGGCAGGCUCUUGCUGUCCACGUCUCUUCUUGCUUUUCUCUCUUCUUUUGUUUCUUUUUCCAGUUAACUUCUAAAUAGGUAGUACAUACUUAUGGUACAACAUUUUAAAAGUACAGAAAGUGUACUGUGAAAAGUAAACCUGUCUCCCAUCCUUCUCCCCUAGUCCCGGAGUUCCUCUCCUCAGAAGCAGCCACUGUUUCACAUUUCCUGGAUACUGCUCCAGAGAAAAGUCUACACAUAUACAAGUCUUUUUGCUUGCUUGCUUUUGCUUGUGUUUUGCUGUACUCCUCCCUACUUUUCUUCCAGUUUUUCUGGAUGCUCCUUCCUCUGUCAGUCUGUCAGUACUCCUAACUAACUUGGCUGGGCUUGCCAUCUCUGGUCUUUUUGAUUCUACCAAGUGUUACCCAAAGCACGUGUCUUUUGGAUUGACUAGUUACUGGUUGCAUGCGUUCACUACCAGUACUUGAGGAGUGCUCAGGAAGGCUUUACUCUCUCCAAAUGUAGUCUACUCUGCAUGGUAAGUGGUCUGAUGCCAGCAAGACAUCUUUGUUGGUCGCUUCAUCACUGAAAUGUGUAUUGGAGAAGGCAUGAAAGCACCGGUAGUACUAAAAAGUACCCUAUAAAUAUAGGCACUGUUAAUAAGUAACAGUAAGCUGAGCUUACAUGCACACAGAGUAGGUAGAGGACUGCCCUGCUUUCUCACUUAGUCUAUAUGAAUUCUGUAAGGUCAUGUGAAUCCAGAUCCUUUAGGUUGUCGACCUAGGCCUAAGAAGUUUGUCUUCCUCCUAGUCUAAAAAGCUUUCUCCUGAUUAAAGCCUUCUGGCUCCACUCACAUGCCACCUUAGAGACAUUUUAUAACUCUUUGAAGGAGACAAAGACACAACCUCUAACCAGGUCUCUUUGAAAAAGAUGAUAAUAAAACUUCUACACACAAUGCACUGUUCUUUCAUUUCUGCUUUUUUACUGCCUGUUUUCCUGAGUUUAACUGUUUCAGCCUCUAUCUUUGUGUCUCUCCACUCUUUCCCUCUUUCCCUCUCUUACUUCUCUUUUCUUGGUUCUUUCUUCUUAUCUGUCUGUCUUGAUCUCUAUUCUAGCCUCUUUUUCUGAUUGGCCCUCUCCCCUCUCUUCUGUCUGAUUGGCCUGUAUCCUUCCAUCACCCCAUCUGUCUGCUGGAUUCUCCCUGUCUGCCUGCAGUAAUGUAUGUGAUAGCACUUUAUAAAUUAUAAAGCACUAUGUUGUAUAAAACACCAUUAUCACUUUGUCUUCCUUCUUACCUUAUUUUUUCUUCCUUUAUCUGUCUUCCCUUCUUCUCUCUUUCUCUCUCUCUCUGUUUGCCUGUCUGCAUCCCUUUUGGUGAUUUUGCCUGCCUUCUCUGUCAGUCAAUCUCCAUUCCCUCCCUGCCAGCCUAUUUUUCUGCCAUCCCUCUUCUCUGUCUGCUCAGUUCUUGCAUCUCUCCUUCUGUGUUUCCAGGUUUCUCUAUAUUUCUUUUGCCUGUGUAGUCUCUCUGUCGUUAGGCCUUUUAUCUAUGCCUGUGUGUCUCACUGUCUAGCUGCUUGUCUCCCUGCCUGUCACUUUCAUUGUGGGGCAUCAGUCUCUGCCUUCUUCUGUCUUUCAGUACUUCAAAAAAUAAAAAUUAAAUAAAAAAUUUAAAUUCCUUAUGAUUAAUGGGUACAGGAGAAUAUUUUUUUUGUUUUAAUGAGAAGACUAUUAAGGUGAGAACAAAGAACUCAAAUAUUCAGCUGUGAAAUGCAAAUGAAGAAAAAUUUUUAAGGGACUCUCAAGCCAAGAAUAAGAUUAUUUAACGCAAAAGCAAGAAACAUAUCUAAAGCAAUAAUUUCUAACCUUUUAGGAUCGUAGAAAGUUAGAAACUUUCUCCAGAAAAAAAAAAUACACACAAAAUGUCACAUAUGUUUUCACGGUGUUACGAAUACCCUGAAGUCUUGGACCCCAGGUUAAAACUCUGAUGUAGGGAACCAGUGAUAAUCAGUGAUAGAGCACAGACAUGUACUCAUACAACAAGCAGAGUAAAAGACUGAAAAAACACUUGCAAUCUAUGAUUUUCUACCCAAGGAUAUGUUAAAGAGAUUCCUAAUUGUCUUUUGAAAUAUGUAGGUCAGUGAUAAUAAUGAAAGGCAUGUAAAUACUCAGGAUAGUCUAGACCUAAUCAUAGUAUUUUAGAGAUGGAAGGUCUUAUAAAUCAGUGGUUCUCAAAUGGCUAAGAAAGGUUGCCACAUGUCCUUUACUGGAAAAGUCUGUCCUUUAUUCUGAGAGGAUAUAUUUCUGAUAUAUAUUUUUACAUAGAAUAAAUAUAGUAUACAGUAUAUUUAUAUAGGAUAAAUAUAUGUAUAUAUGCUUAUAUUUUAUGUUAUAAAUUAUGUUACAUAUUAUUAAACAUAUAUACACAUAUACAUAUUUAUAAUGUUAAAAACUUCCUUUCUAAAGCUGAGAUAGAUCUGUAUGGCAGAAUGUGAGUAGAUUUUAGUGGGGAAGGGGGAGGAAAAGAAUAAGAAAAUGACUUUUUAUACUUACUGUACAAUCUGAAAAUUUUCAACAUGUACUUCUUUUAUAAUUAUACAACAUUUUAAAUAAUUUUAAAUAUCUUUUUAUGAGACGUAGUUUCAUCCUUGUUGCCCAGACUGUAGUGCAAUGGCGCGAUCUCAGCUCACUGCAACCUCUGCCUCCCGGGUUUCAGCCAUUCUCCUGCCUCAGCCUCCCGAGUAGCUGGGAUUACAGGCGCGUGCCACCACCACACCCGGCUAAUUUUUUGGAUUUCUAGCAGAGGCGGGGUUUUACCAUGUUGGCCAGGCUGGUCUCGAGCUCCUGACCUCAGGUGAUCCACCUGCCUCGGCCUCCCACAGUGCUGAGAUUAUGAAUUUUGUUGUUCUUAAUGUCCUUACUCAGCACAAUGAAAAGUCAGCAACCCCAUGUUGAUCACUAACUUUUUUUUUUUUUACAUUUUAUUGAUCAUUAAAAUCUAAAAGUCUAGGAUUUACUGCUUUAAUCUAACCUGUUCUUGAUUUUAUCAAGGAGGAAACUUCAGUCCUUCAUAUAUCAUAUUCAUGAUUUGCCAUAUCUAUAUAUCAGCUAUACCAUUAUAUGCAUACUAUUUUUCUUUAAAUCACUCACCUUUCUUUAACUUAAAUGAAUGUUCUUUAAAAGGUAAAUUUUAUAUUGCUAGAAAUAAUAUUCAUAAGUCUUUAAUUUGAUACUGUAAUUAUGUUUUUCUUUCUAAUUUAAAAUGCAAUAUUGUUAAAAUAAAAAUCAAUAAAAGUAAAAGCAUCUUGCAUGCUACUAAUAAUAUAGGUACAUAUUUUAGAAAAUAUCACUUUAAUCUAAUUUUAUAGGUAUAGAAACUGGGGCCUAGAUAUUGAAAGGAUUACCUAAGAUCAAGUUAGUAGUUAGAGACAGAACCAGGACUUGAACUUUUAUCUUUCGGUUUCCAAUCUAGUGUUCUUCUACUAUAUACUACAUGAGUUUUAAGUCAAUGAGAUGUCCUAGAGUUUUAAAGGACACUAAUAUGUGAAACUGAUGGUCACAUAUAUUACUGUUAUUAACUAUAACAACUAUGCCACAAAACUAGCAAGGCCAAUUUAAUAGUAUGUGUUAUACUUAUAAACUUAGUGUUUUUUGACACAGAGUUCCACUUCUCACCAUUUAUUAUAGAGAAACAGUCACCAUACUUAUGCAUAGGGUGACAUUACAGAGCUAUUCAUUACAACACUGUUUGUAACAGCAAAAAACUGGAAACACCCUAAAUCUCCAACAGUAAGGAAUAGCUAAACAAACUACACAGCAGUUAAGAAAAAGGAGUUACUGGGGCACAUGUUCUCAGGAUUUCCUGGGGCUGUGUCGCAGGCCAUUAAAAAGAAAAAGAAAAAAGAAAAAUGAGUUACUUCUGUAUGUAGAGACAUGGUUAAUAUAUUGUUGAAUGGAAACAAGCAACUUGUAAAAAAAAAAAAAAUGACAUCAUUUAGUUUAUGUUUAAAGAAAUUAAAACAAUAAUAUUUUUACUGAUACAUUUAUUUGGAUUUAAAUGCUUUUAAAAAUGCUGGAAGUGUACAUACCAAACUGGUAACAUUGGUUACUUUCAGGAAAAAAUAGUCAAGGGGGAUUGUUUGCUUCAUUGAUAAUUCUGAAUUUUUACAAUGAGAAAGUAUUUAUUAUUUAUGUAAACAAAAUUAAGUAGCUUCAUUGAUUACGUUAGCAACUGGAGCCAAAUGGGAUAAAAAGUAGUAUGACUUCUCUAAAGAA
RNAcentral lists this long non-coding RNA (7722 nucleotides) under Homo sapiens (human). RNAcentral's name for it is "non-protein coding lnc-NAA38-2:2". The record is from RNAcentral. Lineage: Eukaryota; Metazoa; Chordata; Mammalia; Primates; Hominidae.